RNAcentral lists this ribosomal RNA (253 nucleotides) under uncultured microorganism. Its description in RNAcentral is "partial 16S ribosomal RNA". It matches the Rfam family "Bacterial small subunit ribosomal RNA", at positions 524 to 776 of the family's 1533-position model. The record is from RNAcentral.
UACGUAGGGGGCGAGCGUUACCCGGAUUUACUGGGCGUAAAGGGAGCGUAGGCGGACAUUUAAGUCAGGGGUGAAAUCCCGGGGCUCAACCUAGGAAUUGCGCUUGUGACUGGCGGGCUCGAGUACGGUAGAGGGGGGUGGAAUUCCUGGUGUAGCAGUGAAAUGCGUAGAGAUCAGGAGGAACACCGAUGGCGAAGGCAGCCCCCUGGGCCUGUACUGACGCUCAUGCACGAAAGCGUGGGGAGCAAACAGG